RNAcentral lists this transfer RNA (63 nucleotides) under Longitarsus ballotae. RNAcentral describes it as "tRNA-Phe". Lineage: Eukaryota; Metazoa; Arthropoda; Insecta; Coleoptera; Chrysomelidae. The record is from RNAcentral.
ACUUAAAUAGCUUAUAUAGAGCAUAAUAUUGAAGAUAUUAAGGAAAUUUAAAAUUUUUAAGUA